GAUUUGGUUCAUGAACUCGGAUAUGGUUCAUGCGUUCGGUGUAUGGAUUUGGUUCAUGGUUCAAGAAAUUUGGGUUUAGUUUAACGACUUUUCGGUCGUUUGGAUUUGGUUUAGUUUAACGACUUUUCGGUCGUUUGAAAUUUGGGUUGUUUAGUUUAACUACUUUGCAGUCAUUUGGAUUUGGGUUUAGUUUAAUGAUGUUUCGGUCGUUUGAUUUGAUUGUUUAGUUUAACGACUUUGCGGUCGUUUGAUUUGAUUGUUUAGUUUAACGACUUUGCGGUCGUAGGUUUUAUUUGUGGACUUUGGGUUUUGGCAUUUUAUUUGUGAACUUUGGAUUUUGGGAUUUAUUUGUGGACUUUGGGUUUUGGAAUUUAUUUGUGGACUUUCGUUUUGAAAUUUAUUUGUGGACUUUGAGUUUGGGUGGGCUU
Molecule: long non-coding RNA, 428 nt
Filed under: Ananas comosus (pineapple)
Lineage: Eukaryota; Viridiplantae; Streptophyta; Magnoliopsida; Poales; Bromeliaceae
Description: long non-coding RNA (ACOM_LNC007373)
Source: RNAcentral